GAUGAACGCUGGCGGCGUGCCUAAUACAUGCAAGUCGAGCGAACGGACGAUACGCUUGUUUCUUUGAUGUUAGCGGCGGACGGGUGUGUAACACGUGUAUAACCUACCUAUAAUACUGGUAUAACUUCGGGAAACCGGAUCUAAUACCGGAUAAUCUUUUGAACCACAUUGUUCAUAAGUAAAAGUCGGUCUUGCUGUCACUUCUAGCUGGAUCCGCGCUUCAUUAGCUAGUUGUUAAGUUCAGGGCAUUCCAAGGCAACGAUGCCUAGCCGACCGGAGAGGGGGGUAGGCGACCCUGGAGGGGGGACGCGGUCAAUGCUCCUGCGGGAGGCAGCAGUAGGGAAUCUGACGCAAUGGGGGAAAGCCUGACGGAGCAACGCGGCGUGAGUGAUGAAGGUCUUGGGAUCGUAAAGCUCGGUUAUGAGUGAAGAACAUAUGUGUAAGUAACUGUGCACAUCUUGACGGUACCUAAUCAGAAAGCCACGGCUAACUACGUG
Molecule: ribosomal RNA, 497 nt
Filed under: uncultured bacterium
Lineage: Bacteria
Description: partial 16S ribosomal RNA
Rfam family: Bacterial small subunit ribosomal RNA
Source: RNAcentral